UGAAACGCUCAGACAGGAAGUGAUGUAAAAGAGCAUCAGGAAAUGAUGUAAGGUGAAAACAAUACUAUAAAGGAAAGACAGGAAUUUCUGGGAGAGAACGAGGUGGAGAGGAGACGUCACUGAAUUACACAGAGGAGGAUAAAGGAAGUAAUGAAGAGGAAAUCUGGGCAGUAAAGAAAACAAAAUCUGCCCAUCCCAUGGUCCUUCUUUAGAAGGACACCAGGAUCUCUACAAGGACCUCAUGAUGGAGAAUCAGCCGCCCCUCACAUCACCGGAUGGAUCCAGUAAUGGGAACCCACCAGAG
Long non-coding RNA from Rana temporaria (common frog), 304 nucleotides. RefSeq lists it as uncharacterized. The record is from RefSeq and is a predicted model, not a curated record. The transcript is spliced from 3 exons. Lineage: Eukaryota; Metazoa; Chordata; Amphibia; Anura; Ranidae.